ACUCCUACGGGAGGCAGCAGUAGGGAAUCCUGCGCAAUGGGCGAAAGCCUGACGCAGCGACGCCGCGUGCGGGACGAAGGCCUUCGGGUUGUAAACCGCUUUCAGCAGGGACGAAGCGAAAGUGACGGUACCUGCAGAAGAAGGUCCAGCCAACUACGUGCCAGCAGCCGCGGUAAU
This 177-nucleotide ribosomal RNA is filed under the name uncultured Actinomycetes bacterium. RNAcentral describes it as "uncultured actinobacterium partial 16S ribosomal RNA". It matches the Rfam family "Bacterial small subunit ribosomal RNA", at positions 335 to 524 of the family's 1533-position model. Lineage: Bacteria; Bacillati; Actinomycetota; Actinomycetes. The record is from RNAcentral.